GUCCCUAUAGUUCAAUGGAUAGAACUGCGGUUUCCUAAACCGCCAAUCCGGGUUCGAGUCCCGGUGGGGGCACCA
Molecule: transfer RNA, 75 nt
Filed under: Puniceicoccus vermicola
Lineage: Bacteria; Pseudomonadati; Verrucomicrobiota; Opitutia; Puniceicoccales; Puniceicoccaceae
Description: tRNA-Arg
Rfam family: tRNA
About the family: Transfer RNA (tRNA) molecules are approximately 80 nucleotides in length.
Source: RNAcentral